Molecule: ribosomal RNA, 398 nt
Filed under: Umbilicaria dendrophora
Lineage: Eukaryota; Fungi; Ascomycota; Lecanoromycetes; Umbilicariales; Umbilicariaceae
Description: mitochondrial SSU rRNA
Rfam family: Bacterial small subunit ribosomal RNA
Source: RNAcentral
GAAUAUUGGUCAAUAGCCUAACGGCUGAACCAGCAACUUGGAGGAAUGUAUAGCGAAAGCUAAUUGUAUUAGCAGGCAAUGGUUAAUAUAAUAUCGACUAUGUCGACUAAAGUUCUAGGUAGAGUAAUGAUAAUGACAUUUUUUACCUAUGUGUCUUGACCAAGUCACGUGCCAGCAGUCGCGGUAAUACGUGGAAGACAAGUGUUAUUCAUCUUUAAUAGGUUUAAAGGGUACCCAGACGGUAUAUUUAGCCCAAAAAAGGUACUAAAUAAACUAGAGUUUAAUGUGAGGGGGUUUAUAGUACUAAUGGUGUAGAGAUGAAAUUCUGUCAUACCAGGAGGUAACUGGCAGCGGCGAAAGCAACCCUUUAUGCAAAAACUGACGUUGAAGGACGAAGG